GUCACUGCGGCAGUGUUCUAGACUUGACCUGUCGUGGGUGAGGUGCUCUCUUCGGGAUUAAACUGCUAGCUGCCGGUGCGGAAAUGUGUAGGUCUCUGGCGGGAAGGAACUGAAGAUGCUUCAUUAUUUGGACCAGAAGCAGAUCAAGGAAUGAUUAAUUCAAUGCGGUUAUCGUGCUGCUAGUCGAUCUCAAUUCGCAUUCAUAUGGUGUUUUCACUUCGUCGUGGAUUGUUGUACUAUUUCCUCUCCUGUUGUUUUGGUUGUGGAUUUUAAAUACUGCAUAUUCAUGCCUUGAAUUGCCUUUUAGUUUAAAGUGUUAAGAGUUAAGAUUUAGGUCAGAAAGAUUUCGUCCCGAAGAAUGUUACCCUGCCGACUUGAUCUAUUUUCUUUACUCUAAGUUGUAAUUGUAAAUAGACCUCUCACUACUUGUUCAAUAAAGCAAUUAAAUUAUCAAUUUAA
Brachypodium distachyon (stiff brome) is the source of this 459-nucleotide long non-coding RNA. RefSeq lists it as uncharacterized. The record is from RefSeq and is a predicted model, not a curated record. The transcript has 2 exons. Lineage: Eukaryota; Viridiplantae; Streptophyta; Magnoliopsida; Poales; Poaceae.